GACGAACGCUGGCGGCGUGCUUAACACAUGCAAGUCGAGCGGUAAGGCCCUUUCGGGGGUACACGAGCGGCGAACGGGUGAGUAACACGUGGGUGACCUGCCCUUAGCUCUGGGAUAAGCCUGGGAAACUGGGUCUAAUACCGGAUAUGACUCCAUGACGCAUGUUGUGGGGUGGAAAGCCUUGUGCGGCUAGGGAUGGGCCCGCGGCCUAUCAGCUUGUUGGUGGGGUGAUGGCCUACCAGGGCGACGACGGGUAGCCGGCCUGAGAGGGCGACCGGCCACACUGGGACUGAGACACGGCCCAGACUCCUACGGGAGGCAGCAGUGGGGAAUCUUGCGCAAUGGGCGAAAGCCUGACGCAGCGACGCCGCGUGGGGAUGACGGCCUCGUGU
RNAcentral lists this ribosomal RNA (392 nucleotides) under uncultured bacterium. RNAcentral's name for it is "bacterial SSU rRNA". It matches the Rfam family "Bacterial small subunit ribosomal RNA", at positions 28 to 422 of the family's 1533-position model. The record is from RNAcentral.